CUAUUUUUUUUUAACUACAAAUUUAGCUGCUAAAUCUAGUUGUUUUAGAGUCUCCAUUUUUUAUAUUUAUAAAUAUAGUCCAUAAUUUUCUUAAAACAAAAUACUUUAACGAGCAGUUUGUUAAAGUGUAUACAAUUUUUCAAAUUAUUAUUUUAUGUGUGUUUUCUCUUCAAAUAUCUUAAGCGUGUAAACAUAGUGAACCCUGAAAACUUUUAACAUAUAGACUAUCGAUGGAUAGUCAGACACUUUUCAUUAUUUUCCUUAAUUUCAAAACAUAUAGACUUAUUUUCCUUAUUGAUAAACAUGAAUUGCUUAGCGAUUACUCUACACAACUAAUAGUAGAAUAAUAAAUUCGCAGAACUAAGACCUAGUUCCGUUUACUGUCUCAAGUCUCAAGCUGCAUUUAACUCAUCCUGGUUUUCUCAGAUAAAAAUGGAAAAGAAAGAUGGCUUUAAGGAUGAUCUUAUAACCAUUAACCAUAUCGCUAUUAAACAGAAGUGGUCAAAGCUUUAAGGGUUUGGUGAGCCAAGGAAGUGAGUUUGUCAGGGGAUCGUCCAAGUCAGUCUAACUAAAGUUGUUUGAUCAAUAAAAGUACUGGAGAUUUAACAAAAGUUACAAUAACAUACAUCAAGGUUCAUGAUUUGCACGUUGUGGUAUAUGUUUAGAUAAAUAACUCAAGAACAUCUGUGGUCAGUGGUUUAGGUAUAGAGUUGGUGAGGAAGAUUAUGAAUAAUUGAAUAUUAUCAUGUAUAGAAAAGGGAAUCUUUGUUGACCAAAAAUGAAAAGAAAAGGGAAUCUUUCUGGAUUAAAGACAUUAGACAUCCCAUAAACUAACCCCAACAACAACAACAAAAAGACAUUAGACAUCCCAUAAAUUAACCCCAACAACAAAAAAAGAAAAGAAUAGGCCUAAGAAGCCCAGUACAGAUUAAAAAUGGGCCUUUAUAAACACUUGGCGUUAGUCAGAAACGUUUAGCGCAAAACAAUUCAAAUCAAACUCCUUCUAAAGUAGCAAUCAUCGAGCCACCUCCAGAUUGUAGACGUAUGCUUGAGAAAACGGCUCGUUUGGUACCAAGCAUUUUGCAUUAGAACCUCCUCAAGGGAUCACGCUCAAGGAACUUGGUAACAUGAAGCUAACAGCAACGUUUGUGGCACGGUAUGGCGUGUAUAUUUUUGGCCGGUUUGAUCAAGAGAGUGGCUACGAAUCCUCAUUUUGAGUUUAUCAAGGACACUGAUAGCAAGUUCGGUUAUUUCACUCAGCUUGUUGUUGUGUAUUCAAGAAUAAUAAUGCGGAGUAAGAGGAAAGGUGCUUGUACGGGGACCCUUCUUAAAGGCUUUUUCGACCGGCUUCGAACUCAGGGCCGGAUCUGAGAAUUUGGUGGGAGGGGGACUUGAAACAUUUUUUAAGAACUCUAAAAUUUUGGGGGCCGGAAUCAAUGUUUGAGGGCUUAAACCUAUGCAAAAAACCUCUAAAAAUUUUGGGGGCCGAGGCCAAUGUUUCUGUAACGAUCCGAUUACCGUAAACCAGAUUUGAGAAUUUGUUUGUUUAAUUAUUGGACCAAACCAACUCAAAGCAAUUUCUUUACUGGUUUAAUGUAAACCGUGUAGCUUACAUAUUAUUAAUACGUAACUUCCUCUUCUAAACCUAAGAUAGUGUGACAUCAGCCGUUAUUCACCAUCGUCUUCUACCUCUCCACCACGGCUCAAAUCCUUGAGUCAUCUCAGUCCACCGGAGAUCCAUGCCUUGAUCGUCGCCGGUUCUUCGCGACCGUCAUGAUCAUCUCACCGGAGGAGGGUCUGAGAUCCUUGCCGCGCCGGAGCCUUUAUCACCCUCGUCAUAAAUGUAAUCAUAACCGAGAGAUGCGGAGGAGACACGAUCUAAAAUGGAGCUGCGGCGUUUAACACCAACCACCACCGAUCCGUUCCCCGCGAACCAUCCAUCACCAAAGAGCAACCGCCGUGAUGUCACUACCCUUGCUAGACCAAGAUCAGUCGGAAGUGCUUUGUGGUUGGUUUAAUAUUGAUCUGAUAAAUGAACGUGAGGAGGAAACGAGCCAAGCCGGAGUCACCGUCUUAACACCGCCGACCACCGUUCUGCACCACCAUGAGUUGUUAGUCAUCGUAGAUGGAGCCGGGUUGUCGGAGUACGAGAGCCAAUAACGUAAACCCAAGCCGUGAUGGUUGAGUGUCCUCUUCUCAAUUUCUUGUGCUACAAGAAAUUCACUUAUAUAAUUUAACCCUUAAUUGGUUCAUGCCUAGGGAAACCAUCGUGGACUUAAGGUGUGAAUUAUUUGAUAAUUAAUUCUUGUUAAAUCCUGACCGAAGAGGUUUCUUGGACAAAUCCCGAGUGUUUUCUCAACGUGGCUAAGGCGAGACUGACGAGUAUAUGAUAUUUGGACGGAUUGGUGCUACUGGACUUUUUAUUCGGCUUUUUGUUUGGGCUUAGGAUCCGGCCAUGUUCGAACUCAACUGGAAAAGCAAGAGGGAGUGGAGAUGGUUGAGAGUAAUUUGGAUGGUAUUGUGGGUUGUGUUGACUAUUUUCCUCACAUGGAGGAUCAAGUGUCUUGUGCUAACGUGCCACCACCUGAUCCUUUUGUAUGGGGAUGAUGGAUUCAGAGACAAAGCUCUUACUCAUGUUCUGUUUCUAUUAUCUGAAAAGUCUCUUUAAUAUUGUGAUUA
Molecule: long non-coding RNA, 2679 nt
Organism: Brassica napus (rape)
Lineage: Eukaryota; Viridiplantae; Streptophyta; Magnoliopsida; Brassicales; Brassicaceae
Exons: 3
Source: RefSeq, a predicted model, not a curated record